RNAcentral lists this ribosomal RNA (740 nucleotides) under Ononis serrata. RNAcentral describes it as "eukaryotic LSU rRNA". The stretch from base 325 to 480 matches the Rfam family "5.8S ribosomal RNA". Lineage: Eukaryota; Viridiplantae; Streptophyta; Magnoliopsida; Fabales; Fabaceae. The record is from RNAcentral.
GAAGUCCACUGAACCUUAUCAUUUAGAGGAAGGAGAAGUCGUAACAAGGUUUCCGUAGGUGAACCUGCGGAAGGAUCAUUGUCGAUACCUUACAUGAAAUCCAACACGUGAAUCUGUUUCAACAACUAGGUUUUGCUUGAGGUGUUAAAACUUCUGGCAAUACCUUUCGGUUUGAAGGUAGACGACAUAGUGCGUCCUCCUUUCUACCAAACUCAAACCCCGGCGCUGAAUGCGUCAAGGAAUUUAAAUUUUGAUCUUAGCACAUCUACAUGAUGUCGGAGACGAUUUUCGUGUUGCUUGUGCUUUGACACUUUAUAUUAGAAUGACUCUCGGCAACGGAUAUCUAGGCUCUUGCAUCGAUGAAGAACGUAGCGAAAUGCGAUACUUGGUGUGAAUUGCAGAAUCCCGUGAACCAUCGAGUCUUUGAACGCAAGUUGCGCCCGAUGCCAUUAGGUUGAGGGCACGUCUGCCUGGGUGUCACAUAUCGAAGCCUCUUGCCAAUAUCCUAUUCAUAGGUAUUGUGCACGGUGAAUGUUGGCCUCCCGUAGCUCUUCUGGCUCACGGUUGGUUGAAAAUCGAGACCUUGGUAGGGUGUGCCAUGAUUGAUGGUGGUUGUGUGACCCACGAGAACUUGAAAAUCAUACACUAUUCUACUAAAUGUGGCCUCUAUUACCCAUUUUGCGUUUGCAAACGCUCGUGAUGAGACCUCAGGUCAGGCGGGGCUACCCGCUGAAUUUAAG